ACGUAGGGUGCGAGCGUUGCUCGGAUUUACUGGGCGUAAAGCGCGCGUAGGCGGUCCAUUAAGUCUGCGGUGAAAUUCAGAGGCUCAACCUCUGUCCCGCCGCUGAAACUGGUGGUCUUGAGAUUGGGAGAGGGAUGCGGAAUUCCUGGUGUAGAGGUGAAAUGCGUAGAUAUCAGGAGGAACACCGGCGGCGAAGGCGGCUCCCUGGAUCAUAUCUGACGCUGAGGCGCUAAAGCGUGGGUAGCAAACGG
RNAcentral lists this ribosomal RNA (251 nucleotides) under uncultured prokaryote. Its description in RNAcentral is "partial 16S rRNA". It matches the Rfam family "Bacterial small subunit ribosomal RNA", at positions 525 to 775 of the family's 1533-position model. The record is from RNAcentral.